GGGUUGUGAGGUUAAGCGACUAAGCGUACACGGUGGAUGCCCUGGCAGUCAGAGGCGAUGAAGGGCGUACUAAUCUGCGAUAAGCGCCGGUAAGGUGAUAUGAACCGUUAUAACCGGCGAUACCCGAAUGGGGAAACCCAGUGUGAUUCGUCACACUAUCAUUAACUGAAUCCAUAGGUUAAUGAGGCGAACCGGGGGAACUGAAACAUCUAAGUACCCCGAGGAAAAGAAAUCAACCGAGAUUCCCCCAGUAGCGGCGAGCGAACGGGGAGGAGCCCAGAGCCUGAAUCAGCAUGUGUGUUAGUGGAAGCGUCUGGAAAGGCGCGCGAUACAGGGUGACAGCCCCGUACACAAAAGCGCAUGUGCUGUGAGCUCGAUGAGUAGGGCGGGACACGUGGUAUCCUGUCUGAAUAUGGGGGGACCAUCCUCCAAGGCUAAAUACUCCUGACUGACCGAUAGUGAACCAGUACCGUGAGGGAAAGGCGAAAAGAACCCCGGCGAGGGGAGUGAAAAAGAACCUGAAACCGUGUACGUACAAGCAGUGGGAGCACAGGUUUACCUGUGUGACUGCGUACCUU
RNAcentral lists this ribosomal RNA (578 nucleotides) under Salmonella enterica subsp. enterica serovar Enteritidis. RNAcentral's name for it is "partial 23S ribosomal RNA". It matches the Rfam family "Bacterial large subunit ribosomal RNA", at positions 1 to 607 of the family's 2925-position model. Lineage: Bacteria; Pseudomonadati; Pseudomonadota; Gammaproteobacteria; Enterobacterales; Enterobacteriaceae. The record is from RNAcentral.